ACGGGGUGCAGCAGGCGCGAAAACUUCACAAUGUGGGAAACCGCGAUGAGGGGAUUCCAAGUGCUUGCGUUUUGCGUAAGCUGCUCUCCUGCCUAAAAAGCAGGGGGAGUAAGGGCUGGGUAAGACGGGUGCCAGCCGCCGCGGUAAUACCCGCAGCCCAAGUGGUGGUCGAUAUUAUUGAGCUUAAAGCGUCCGUAGCCUGUCUGGUAAAUUCUUGGGUAAAUCGUGCAGCUUAACUGUCCGAAUUCCGGGGAGACUGCCAGACUUGGGACCGGGAGAGGUUGGAGGUACUCCUGGGGUAGGGGUAAAAUCCCGUAAUCCUGGGAGGACCAUCAGUGGCGAAGGCGUCCAACUGGAACGGAUCCGACGGUCAGGGACGAAGCCCUGGGUCGCGAACUGGAUUAGAUACCCAGGUAGUCCAGGGUGUAAACGCUGCAGACUUGGUGUCGGAGGUCCUACGAGGGCGUCCGGUGCCGGAGAGAAAUUGUUAAGUCUGCCGCUUGGGGAGUACGUCCGCAAGGAUGAAACUUAAAGGAAUUGGCGGGAGAGCACCGCAACGGGAGGAGCGUGCGGUUCAAUUGGAUUCAACGCCGGAAAACUCACCGGGGGCGACGGUUACAUGAAGGCCAAGCUGAUGACUUUGCCUGAUUUUCCGAGAGGUGGUGCAUGGCCGUCGUCAGUUCGUACCGUA
RNAcentral lists this ribosomal RNA (691 nucleotides) under uncultured archaeon. Its description in RNAcentral is "bacterial SSU rRNA". It matches the Rfam family "Archaeal small subunit ribosomal RNA", at positions 325 to 1018 of the family's 1478-position model. The record is from RNAcentral.